CCUACGGGAGGCAGCAGUAAGGAAUAUUGGUCAAUGGACGAAAGUCUGAACCAGCCAUGCCGCGUGAGGGAUUAAGGCCCUCUGGGUUGUAAACUUCUUUUAUCUGGGACGAAAAAAGGGUAUUCUUACUCACUUGACGGUACCAGAGGAAUAAGCACCGGCUAACUCCGUGCCAGCAGCCGCGGUAAUACGGAGGGUGCAAGCGUUAUCCGGAUUUACUGGGUUUAAAGGGUGCGUAGGUGGGCUUGUAAGUCAGUGGUGAAAUCUCCGGGCUUAACCCGGAAACUGCCAUUGAUACUAUAGGUCUUGAAUUAUCUGGAGGUAAGCGGAAUAUGUCAUGUAGCGGUGAAAUGCUUAGAUAUGACAUAGAACACCAAUUGCGAAGGCAGCUUACUACGGAUAUAUUGACACUGAGGCACGAAAGCGUGGGGAUCAAACAGGAUUAGAUACCCUGGUAGUCCACGCCCUAAACGAUGGAUACUCGACAUCAGCGAUACACUGUUGGUGUCUGAGNGAAGANAUAUAUCCACCNGAGAGANGCAGAUAGAAUAAUAGAUAGAGNGNGAGAGNGCGAGACGACGACGAGGAGAGG
Molecule: ribosomal RNA, 592 nt
Filed under: uncultured bacterium
Lineage: Bacteria
Description: bacterial SSU rRNA
Rfam family: Bacterial small subunit ribosomal RNA (bases 1-531)
Source: RNAcentral